RNAcentral lists this ribosomal RNA (1134 nucleotides) under Triticum aestivum (bread wheat). Its description in RNAcentral is "partial small subunit ribosomal RNA". Lineage: Eukaryota; Viridiplantae; Streptophyta; Magnoliopsida; Poales; Poaceae. The record is from RNAcentral.
AUGGCUUACUAUUCAGAUCAUCAUGCUUAUGCGAGCAACACUACAAACAGAACGGAAAGCAUUCAAGACCUGAUAACUGAAUGUCAGCUUCGCUACUCUCACCCUCCAGAUUGUUUUGGCAUGAGCUUCGCUCAAGAGCAUAGCUCAUACCAAAACAAUUACUCACAUGGGUGGCCUGAAAACCCGAAUAUGUCAUAUAGGAGCAACAACCCUGAGAUCACACCGUUUGCUUCUAGUAAUCAUAUGCAGGGAAUUAGGUACAAUGAGGAGAGACAUAACCAUGCACCACAACAGUUUUAUUCACCUCCUACUCAUAUACCGCAGCACCAGGAGAUGUGUCCAAUGGAGUUAAAUGGUCCUCCAUUUGGUCAACCAACACCUUCAACACAAGUGCCCACACAAGAUGAUUUUGAUGAUAUAGACAAGCUCACAUUGCUUAGUCCCGAGUUCACUUGGAGUGCCGAAGAUGAUCCAAUUAGGCCGGUGAUACUAGAUGAAAUGAAGAAGCUCAAGAGUGGGAAGGAGCUAGUGGAAGAAGUAAGGAAAAUUGAGAAGAAUAUCAAUGCCGGGUGCACUAUCUCAUCCCUCCUUGAGCUGAGUGUUUCUGGGAUAUCCCUUGAGGUGUGUGAGGUUCCAACACCUUCACAUUCAGCUGAGCAACAUAGCGAGAGUCCAGAGGAACAGAUACUUCAGAUCCAAGAAGAAAUUCUCGAAGCCAAGGCACAAGAUGAUCCAGAGCUCGAAUACCCAAAUGAACAAGUUGAAGAUCCAAUGUCUAUCUCUCCCGAAGAAGUAAAAGAAGCUGCUGUAGAUGAACUUGAAGAACCAGAAAUUCAUUUGCCCAUUGUUACACAAGAGCGUGAUGUAGCAGGUUCUUCCUUGUGCACGAAUCACUACAUGUUGACCAGGUUCGAGGUGACAUUCCUUGGGACCCCGGUGGAUCCUGAGCACGGAGACGAGGAAAAGCAAGGAGCACACAUAUGGAAGAGAGAAACUGGAGCGUGCUUGUGGAAGCAAAAGGAGAAGAGCUGCAGUUUAGAGAGUGUCGAGCGAGUGUUACAUCAAAGCCCGGUGAGCUGUUUCAUGACCCCAAUCUUAAUAUAUCAUCCAUUGAUACAUGCUGAAAUCAUUUGA